GUCGCAGAGAUGGAGCUCGACA
This 22-nucleotide non-coding RNA is filed under the name Arabidopsis thaliana (thale cress). The record is from RNAcentral. Lineage: Eukaryota; Viridiplantae; Streptophyta; Magnoliopsida; Brassicales; Brassicaceae.